UGGGGAAUAUUGCACAAUGGGGGAAACCCUGAUGCAGCGACGCCGCGUGAGCGAAGAAGGUUUUCGAAUCGUAAAGCUCUGUCCUAUGAGAAGAUAAUGACGGUAUCAUAGGAGGAAGCCCCGGCUAAAUACGUGCCAGCAGCCGCGGUAAUACGUAUGGGGCGAGCGUUGUCCGGAAUUAUUGGGCGUAAAGGGUACGUAGGCGGUCUAUUAAGUCAGGUGUGAAAGCGUGAGGCUUAACCUCAUUAAGCACUUGAAACUGAUAGACUUGAGUGAAGGAGAGGAAAGUGGAAUUCCUAGUGUAGCGGUGAAAUGCGUAGAUAUUAGGAGGAAUACCGGUGGCGAAGGCGACUUUCUGGACUUUUACUGACGCUCAGGUACGAAAGCGUAGGGAGCAAACAGG
RNAcentral lists this ribosomal RNA (403 nucleotides) under Verrucomicrobiota bacterium. RNAcentral describes it as "Verrucomicrobia bacterium partial 16S ribosomal RNA". It matches the Rfam family "Bacterial small subunit ribosomal RNA", at positions 355 to 776 of the family's 1533-position model. Lineage: Bacteria; Pseudomonadati; Verrucomicrobiota. The record is from RNAcentral.